GUUUGAUUACUGACGUGACUUACACUAACUCACCGCUUUUAUUGAGUUCUGUCUUAUUUCUCUUCUUUUUCAGAAUAUUCCCUAUGUUUGCGUUUGUUUCACUCAGGUUGGCAGUUCUUUUUCAAGUUGGAGAAAGUGCAGUUUUAAUUUUACUUGCAACAAAUGUAAUAGAUUAAUAGAGAGAAUAGAGCUCUUUAGACUUGUCUUCCUAUCCAAAUGCCAAGGACCAAAGAGAUCUUUCUUCCAGGUUAAAGUUUGGAAAGAGUCUCAGUCCAUUAGGGAAAUGAGGUAGAGGCGGCCUGGAGUGACACCUCCACGUCAGGAAGCCAAGGUGAGUAGCUACGGCAGCUUCCCUUGAAAUUCAUAUGCACCGUGAUCUGAUCUCCAGGGCUCACUGCUCAUGGGUGAGGC
RNAcentral lists this long non-coding RNA (411 nucleotides) under Fukomys damarensis (Damara mole-rat). Its description in RNAcentral is "lncRNA (ENSFDAG00000025164.1)". The record is from RNAcentral. Lineage: Eukaryota; Metazoa; Chordata; Mammalia; Rodentia; Bathyergidae.